UGCAGCGGCACCACGUCCUCGGGCCACGUCUUGGUCACGUCCAGCGGGUCGAAGUCGAACCGCUCCUCGUGGUCCGGGUCGAUGGUCUGGAUGUAGAAGGUCCACUCCGGGUAGUUGCCGGCGGCGAUGGAGUCGGUCAGGUCCUUGGUGGCGUGGCUGUGGUUGGUGCCGCCCACGGUGACCGCCUCGUCCUCGAGGAGGGACUUGACGCCGCAGGUGGGCUUCCAGUGGAACUUGACG
RNAcentral lists this long non-coding RNA (240 nucleotides) under Triticum aestivum (bread wheat). Its description in RNAcentral is "long non-coding RNA (TAES_LNC006419)". Lineage: Eukaryota; Viridiplantae; Streptophyta; Magnoliopsida; Poales; Poaceae. The record is from RNAcentral.